UUUGAAAGGGAAACGAUUGAAGUCAGUCGUACCAGCGGGAAAUCAACCUUUCGAGUGGGGUUUUGGAGUUUUGAAGUGCGUCAAAACCUUUGAGAUUUCAAAAUGUUCGCUCUUUUGGUGUACUUUCUCGUAGGUAGGUUAACAUCGAUUUUGAUCAUCAUAAAAGGAUUGGAGGAAUGUAGCUUCGAUCUCGUAUUGAAGUGUUGUAGCCUUUGGUAAAUGUGAUGAUUAGGAUCGAGGAUUGCAACGAAUACCCUUUUUGGGCUAUCCGCCUGAUCUCUGAUACGUGGCCUUG
Molecule: ribosomal RNA, 295 nt
Filed under: uncultured fungus
Lineage: Eukaryota; Fungi
Description: partial 25S ribosomal RNA
Source: RNAcentral